GUUGGAGUGCUCAGUGGUAGAGCACUUGCCUAGCAACCGCAAGGUCCUGGGUUCGGUCCCCAGCUCCGAAA
This 71-nucleotide transfer RNA is filed under the name Rattus norvegicus (Norway rat). It matches the Rfam family "tRNA". From Rfam's summary of the family: Transfer RNA (tRNA) molecules are approximately 80 nucleotides in length. Their secondary structure includes four short double-helical elements and three loops (D, anti-codon, and T loops). Lineage: Eukaryota; Metazoa; Chordata; Mammalia; Rodentia; Muridae. The record is from Rfam by way of RNAcentral.